Molecule: long non-coding RNA, 222 nt
Filed under: Elaeis guineensis (African oil palm)
Lineage: Eukaryota; Viridiplantae; Streptophyta; Magnoliopsida; Arecales; Arecaceae
Description: long non-coding RNA (EGUI_LNC008293)
Source: RNAcentral
GUCAUAACUGUUAUGACUAAUCCUCAGGACAUGGGCUAGCUCGAAUCACCAAGCAAACACAUCAAGACUAAUCAAUCAAAUUGGCUUGAAAAGUGUAAGAUCGAUGUGGAUCCCUCCAUUGCUUUUUUUAGAUACCAAUAAAUUGGUCAGAUCAGUGAAUGAAACCAAUUAAAUAAUCAUCUCUCUUUAGGUCAAGCUAAACCACUUUUCUUGGACACCAAU